Molecule: transfer RNA, 76 nt
Filed under: Alphaproteobacteria bacterium
Lineage: Bacteria; Pseudomonadati; Pseudomonadota; Alphaproteobacteria
Also listed under: 1 other name
Description: tRNA-Ala
Rfam family: tRNA
About the family: Transfer RNA (tRNA) molecules are approximately 80 nucleotides in length. Their secondary structure includes four short double-helical elements and three loops (D, anti-codon, and T loops).
Source: RNAcentral
GGGGGCAUAGCUCAGUUGGUAGAGCGUCUGCUUUGCAAGCAGAAUGUCGCAGGUUCGAUUCCUGUUGCCUCCACCA